Molecule: long non-coding RNA, 1117 nt
Organism: Spinacia oleracea (spinach)
Lineage: Eukaryota; Viridiplantae; Streptophyta; Magnoliopsida; Caryophyllales; Amaranthaceae
Exons: 2
Source: RefSeq, a predicted model, not a curated record
UAAGCCUAAAUUGAGAUUAAGACCUUCAAAACUUCAUUUAAAGAUGAAUGAAUUUGAUUUGAUUUUUAUUAUAUUUAAUUUAUUCUCCGAAUGAAUUCUCGAGUUUUACAUCGAGAUAAUUUAAUUUUAUUGGAAAUUUAUUCGUUUAAAGCGCUUGGAUUUUUGAUAAUUUCUAAACUAAUUUAUUUAAAAAAAAAAACAUAAUUUACAAGUCCUUAAUUUAAUUGUUUAAUGUUUUUUUUUGCUAAGCAAUUGUUUAAUGUUUUAAUUGGGAAUUUGCGAAUAUGAUUUUGUUGAUUAAAUAGAUAACCAAAUUGUUUUAUCUUGUUGUCAAAUUUCCAUUACUUCUUAAUUUAUGUGGCAAAACAUUUCUAGAGGAACCUAAGCCCAACCACAAGCCCAUUAUUUCUUUUACAAAUGAACCAAAACCCAAACCCAAACCCAUCUCCCUCAUUUUCCAUUCUCUCUCCUCACGGUGAGUCUCUCUCUCCUCCUCCUUGCUCCGCCGCCCCACCGACGCCGUACUCCCUUCUCCUCCGCAUGCACAACUGAUGUCGUGUGUUGCUAGUGUUGUUGUUGAUCUAUCUCUGCCCGUUUUCUUGCUCUGCCUUCCCCUCCUCCCUCGCAGCACCGCCACCGCCACCGCCACCGCCACCGCCAAUGGUGGCCAUGGACAUCACUUUCAUCAUGCUCCAUCUCCCAAAUGCCACCACCGAUGCCUCCACGGCUGGUCGUUUAGCCGGUCGGUGUUGCAAGUGGUUUUCUCAAAUGGUUGUUGAUUGUUGUUGUAGCUGACUUUUGUGGCCCCUCAUUCCUUCUUUGCUUAUGUUCCGGUGCUCCAUCGCCGCCACUGCCACCCCGCCGCCUCCCCUUCGUCGCUGCCUGCGGAGACCUUGCUCCCCAGCCACCGCUAUUGUUGUUGUUGUUGUUGUUGUUGUUGUUGUUCCGAUCUUGUUGUUGCUAAAUCCUUCUUGCUCUUCCAUUUAUAUUUAAAGGUAUACUUCAAUUCCUUUUAGAGUUAUUUUAGUUUAGCCCAAUUAGAUUGAAAUAGUUAUUGGGAAUCAAUUUGUCAUUGAUUAAUUAUUUUGAUUUUAUGAAAAUAAUUUCAGUAGUUUAA